GGAUAUCCUUCCGAAAGGAGGGGCAAUACCGAAUAUUGUCCGGAGCCGUGAAGGGUUCCGGGGAAAGGGAGGCCUCUGAUACAAGCUUUCGCCUUAAGAUGAGCCCAUGGCCCAUCAGCUAGUUGGUAGGGUAAAGGCCUACCAAGGCUACGACGGGUCGCUGGUCUGAGAGGACGACCAGCCACACUGGCACUGAGAUACGGGCCAGACUCCUACGGGAGGCAGCAGUGAGGAAUAUUGCGCAAUGGGGGAAACCCUGACGCAGCAACGCCGCGUGUGGGAAGAAGGCCUUCGGGUCGUAAACCACUUUUGCACGGGACGAAAAAGGGAUAUCGAACAAAUAUCCCCGAUGACGGUACCGUGAGAAUAAGCCACGGCUAACUCUGUGCCAGCAGCCGCGGUAAGACAGAGGUGGCAAGCGUUGUUCGGAAUUACUGGGCGUAAAGAGUCUGUAGGUGGUUUGUCAAGUC
Molecule: ribosomal RNA, 470 nt
Filed under: uncultured bacterium
Lineage: Bacteria
Description: bacterial SSU rRNA
Rfam family: Bacterial small subunit ribosomal RNA
Source: RNAcentral